This is a long non-coding RNA of Solanum stenotomum, 229 nucleotides long. RefSeq lists it as uncharacterized. The transcript is spliced from 2 exons. The record is from RefSeq and is a predicted model, not a curated record. NCBI's taxonomy places the organism in Eukaryota, Viridiplantae, Streptophyta, Magnoliopsida, Solanales, Solanaceae.
UUUGGGGAUCAAUCCCCAAUGUAGCUGAAUCAUUCUUUUACCACUUUCCAGAAUCGCUGUUUGCCCAUCGUUCUUCUUCUACUGUAUCAUGAAACAUUUGGAGUACUCCACAGUUCAAGUCUUGGUCAGCUAAGCUAGUCGACAUGGCUAUCAAGUAUAACUCAUAACAAUCUAUCUUCUUGACGUUCUUACAUGACCUUGGUGACUCAAUGAUGUUAAGAGGUUUGAC